Molecule: ribosomal RNA, 460 nt
Filed under: uncultured bacterium
Lineage: Bacteria
Description: partial 16S ribosomal RNA
Rfam family: Bacterial small subunit ribosomal RNA
Source: RNAcentral
CCUACGGGUGGCAGCAGUGAGGAAUAUUGGUCAAUGGGCGCGAGCCUGAACCAGCCAAGUAGCGUGAGGGAAGACUGCCCUAUGGGUUGUAAACCUCUUUUGUCAGGGAGCAACGCCGGCUACGUGUAGCCGGACUGAGAGUACCUGAAGAAAAAGCAUCGGCUAACUCCGUGCCAGCAGCCGCGGUAAUACGGAGGAUGCGAGCGUUAUCCGGAUUUAUUGGGUUUAAAGGGUGCGUAGGCGGAAUGCCAAGUCAGCGGUAAAAUCGCGGGGCUCAACCUCGCUCCGCCGUUGAAACUGGCGUGCUUGGGUGGGCGAGAGGUAUGCGGAAUGCGUGGUGUAGCGGUGAAAUGCAUAGAUAUCACGCAGAACUCCGAUUGCGAAGGCAGCAUACCGGCGCCCAACUGACGCUGAAGCACGAAAGCGUGGGUAUCGAACAGGAUUAGAUACCCUGGUAGUC